CCUACGGGCGGCUGCAGUGGGGAAUAUUGCACAAUGGGCGCAAGCCUGAUGCAGCCAUGCCGCGUGUGUGAAGAAGGCCUUAGGGUUGUAAAGCACUUUCAGCGAGGAGGAAGGCAUCACACUUAAUACGUGUGGUGAUUGACGUUACUCGCAGAAGAAGCACCGGCUAACUCCGUGCCAGCAGCCGCGGUAAUACGGAGGGUGCAAGCGUUAAUCGGAAUUACUGGGCGUAAAGCGCACGCAGGCGGUUUGUUAAGUACGCUGUGCCCUGCCCUGUCUUCCCGUGGGACUUGCAUUUGCCGAUGGUACGCUAGAGUCUUGUCGAGGGGGGUAGAAUUCCAGGUGUAGCGGUGAAAUGCGUAGAGAUCUGGAGGAAUACCGGUGGCGAAGGCGGCCCCCUGGACAAAGACUGACGCUCAGGUGCGAAAGCGUGGGGAGCAAACAGGAUUAGAUACCCGAGUAGUC
RNAcentral lists this ribosomal RNA (465 nucleotides) under uncultured Rahnella sp. RNAcentral describes it as "bacterial SSU rRNA". It matches the Rfam family "Bacterial small subunit ribosomal RNA", at positions 338 to 795 of the family's 1533-position model. Lineage: Bacteria; Pseudomonadati; Pseudomonadota; Gammaproteobacteria; Enterobacterales; Yersiniaceae. The record is from RNAcentral.